GGCGUUCUGAAUUCUGCCACUGCCAUGACAGGAGCCUUUGGACUCAAGCUGCCAUGGUGCCUGAAGUCAUCACCAGGCUGGGAGAGGCACCAGAUGGGCAAGAAGGCUACAGCUUCUGCAGGACCCGGAAGAAAUGUCCAGAUCCAGAGGGUGAGGAAUUCAUCUACCAGCCUCUCAGGUUGUGAAUGUGCAGUCUGUUUCUUCGGGAAGAGCCCCAAGUGACAGUGUUCAAGUGGACCAGAUCUGCCCCUAUGUAGGAUUGCUAUCAGCCAAUGUGAAUGACAGACUAGGACCUCUGCCUGAGAAAUACAUUGAGGCAAAUGGUCACCACUGGGGAGGCAAAGAACAUUGUGCCCAGCAUGGUGAAUCACCAUAAAGAGGUUCCUCCCAACAGCCAUAGGAUGGUGGCACGUACUGCUCUGCCAUCCAGGAUGAUUUGACAGAGAAUGUCUGCAAACAGGGCCUGAAAGGAGAGAAGUAUUCAAACAAGAACUGAAAUAUCAGACAACAAAGAUCAGAAAUACCUGCUUUAAUGGAAGAAUGUUAUGCUGAUUCUUCGGCUACAAAGGAUUGCUUGUGCCUUUAUACAUAGUUUCCAGCAGCAAGAAGAGACUCACAGCACGGAUUGCAUUUCUUCUCUUCAGCAAGGGGAAGGGGUCUGCAGCUCAUCUGCAUCAGUUCAUCUAUAACACUGAGCCAGGUGACGGGGCUGGGACUUAUCCCUGCACACAGGACCUGGUUCAUCCAUCCACAAGCGUAUCAGGAGUGGGGGACUUGUUUCUGG
This is a long non-coding RNA of Lagopus leucura (white-tailed ptarmigan), 784 nucleotides long. RefSeq lists it as uncharacterized. The record is from RefSeq and is a predicted model, not a curated record. The transcript is spliced from 6 exons. Lineage: Eukaryota; Metazoa; Chordata; Aves; Galliformes; Phasianidae.